CGACGAAUCUUCCGCAAUGGACGAAAGUCUGACGGAGCGACGCCGCGUGCGGGAUGAAGCGGCUUUGCCGUGUAAACCGCUGUCAGGGAAUAGAAACACUGAUCAUUUCCAAAGGAAGGGGCGACUAACUCUGUGCCAGCAGUCGCGGUAAGACAGAGGCCCCGAGCGUUAGUCGGAAUCACUGGGCUUAAAGGGUGCGUAGGCGGACUUCUAAGUGUCGUGUGAAAGCCCAUGGCUUAACCAUGGAACCGCACGGCAAACUGGGAGUCUUGAGGAACGUAGAGGCGGGUGGAACGCUAGGUGGAGCGGUGGAAUGCGUAGAUAUCUAGCGGAACGCCGAAGGUGAAGACAGCCCGCUGGGCGUUUCCUGACGCUGAGGCACGAAAGCGUGGGGAGCAAA
RNAcentral lists this ribosomal RNA (400 nucleotides) under uncultured bacterium. Its description in RNAcentral is "bacterial SSU rRNA". It matches the Rfam family "Bacterial small subunit ribosomal RNA", at positions 355 to 772 of the family's 1533-position model. The record is from RNAcentral.